Molecule: unclassified non-coding RNA, 393 nt
Filed under: uncultured Agaricomycetes
Lineage: Eukaryota; Fungi; Basidiomycota; Agaricomycetes
Description: sequence contains ITS1
Rfam family: 5.8S ribosomal RNA (bases 1-105)
Source: RNAcentral
GAAAUGCGAUAAGUAAUGUGAAUUGCAGAAUUCAGUGAAUCAUCGAAUCUUUGAACGCACCUUGCGCUCCUUGGUAUUCCGAGGAGCAUGCCUGUUUGAGUGUCAUGAAUCUCUCAAACCCUUAGCUUGCUUUAUUGUGAGCUUUGGGCUUUGGACUUGGGGGUCUGCCGGCGUUUGUCGGCUCCUCUCUAAAUGCAUUAGCGGGAUCUUACAAUAAGCGUCCUCGGUGUGAUAAUUGUCUACGCCGUGUGUAUACUUGUUGCGUGUGUUACCACUGCUUGCAGUUGUGUAGCCAUGGGCUCUUGAGCCUAAGCAAUCGUGCUUACAGCCGUCCGCAAGGACAACUUUCUGACAUCUGACCUCAAAUCAGGUAGGACUACCCGCUGAACUUAA